UACGUAGGUGGCGAGCGUUGUCCGGAUUUACUGGGUGUAAAGGGCGUGUAGGCGGGACUGCAAGUCAGAUGUGAAAUCUGUGGGCUUAACUCACAAACUGCAUUUGAAACUGUGGUUCUUGAGUGAUGGAGAGGCAGGCGGAAUUCCGUGUGUAGCGGUGAAAUGCGUAGAUAUACGGAGGAACACCAGUGGCGAAGGCGGCCUGCUGGACAUUAACUGACGCUGAGGCGCGAAAGCCAGGGGAGCAAACGGGAUUAGA
Molecule: ribosomal RNA, 259 nt
Filed under: uncultured prokaryote
Description: partial 16S ribosomal RNA
Rfam family: Bacterial small subunit ribosomal RNA
Source: RNAcentral